RNAcentral lists this ribosomal RNA (451 nucleotides) under uncultured bacterium. RNAcentral's name for it is "partial 16S ribosomal RNA". It matches the Rfam family "Bacterial small subunit ribosomal RNA", at positions 354 to 796 of the family's 1533-position model. The record is from RNAcentral.
GUGGGGAAUAUUGGACAAUGGGGGGAACCCUGAUCCAGCCAUGCCGCGUGUGUGAAGAAGGCCUUUUGGUUGUAAAGCACUUUAAGCGAGGAGGAGGCUUACCUGGUUAAUACCUGGGAUACGUGGACGUUACUCGCAGAAUAAGCACCGGCUAACUCUGUGCCAGCAGCCGCGGUAAUACAGAGGGUGCAAGCGUUAAUCGGAUUUACUGGGCGUAAAGCGCGCGUAGGUGGCCAAUUAAGUCAAAUGUGAAAUCCCCGAGCUUAACUUGGGAAUUGCAUUCGAUACUGGUUGGCUAGAGUAUGGGAGAGGAUGGUAGAAUUCCAGGUGUAGCGGUGAAAUGCGUAGAGAUCUGGAGGAAUACCGAUGGCGAAGGCAGCCAUCAGGCCUAAUACUGACACUGAGGUGCGAAAGCAUGGGGAGCAAACAGGAUUAGAUACCCCGGUAGUCC